AGGAAUCUGUGAAUUAUACCAGGACAUUUGCAUUCCCAUGUAAUCUUUUCUGAGAGAUCCUUUAUAUGAAUUUGCUAGAGGCAGUAGGAGCCACAAAGGACCUUUUUCAGAGGCAGAGAUUGCAGAUGACCUCAUGCUAAGGAGACAGGAUGCAAAGCACAAAGCUUCUAAGGUACCCAUGUGGCACCACGUGGAAGCUAGGAAGAUCUGUGAAGUGGGAAGUCAAGCAGGCAGCCCAAAGGCACCACAGCCAGAAGAGAAACAGGAGGAGGAUGUGGAAAUAAUUGGAAAUCCCUGGGUUCCAGAAAGUCAGCAGAGAACAUGCCAGCACCCUUAAGCUAAGGAGGGACCUGGAAGAGGGUGCAGUUUGCAUAUUUGGAAGGAGAGAGGGAAGUGCAUGUUAAUAAGGCAGCGUGAAGGUCUGUGAACUGCAGGAGAGGCAUUCGAGGUGGGAACCGCACCCUGUCUCUAAUUCCCUCAUCUAAUCUGGCUGCAGCAGGAGCCCACACAGAAAAUCUCUUUCAAUCCCCUUACUGUCAUCCGGCUCCACACUGCUUUUGGGCUCUGCAAAUGGCUAAAAUGUGAAGCAUGGGUGG
Molecule: long non-coding RNA, 596 nt
Organism: Neopelma chrysocephalum (saffron-crested tyrant-manakin)
Lineage: Eukaryota; Metazoa; Chordata; Aves; Passeriformes; Pipridae
Exons: 3
Source: RefSeq, a predicted model, not a curated record